RNAcentral lists this ribosomal RNA (450 nucleotides) under bacterium CPTAC86. RNAcentral's name for it is "bacterial SSU rRNA". It matches the Rfam family "Bacterial small subunit ribosomal RNA", at positions 947 to 1395 of the family's 1533-position model. The record is from RNAcentral.
UUUUUUGUGAACGCGAAGAACCUUACCAGGUCUUGACAUCCUCUAACAACUCUAGAGAUAGAGCGUUCCCCCUUCGGGGGACAGAGUGACAGGUGGUGCAUGGUUGUCGUCAGCUCGUGUCGUGAGAUGUUGGGUUAGUUCCGGCAACGAGCGCAACCCUUGAUCUUAGUUGCCAGCAUUUAGUUGGGCACUCUCAGGUGACUGCCGGUGACAAACCGGAGGAAGGUGGGGAUGACGUCAAAUCAUCAUGCCCCUUAUGACCUGGGCUACACACGUGCUACAAUGGAUGGUACAAAGGGCUGCAAGACCGCGAGGUCAAGCCAAUCCCAUAAAACCAUUCUCAGUUCGGAUUGUAGGCUGCAACUCGCCUACAUGAAGCUGGAAUCGCUAGUAAUCGCGGAUCAGCAUGCCGCGGUGAAUACGUAUCCCGGGUCUUGUACACACGCACCC